GACGAACGCUGGCGGCGUGCUUAACACAUGCAAGUCGAGCGGUAAGGCCCUUUCGGGGGUACACGAGCGGCGAACGGGUGAGUAACACGUGGGUGACCUGCCCUUAGCUCUGGGAUAAGCCUGGGAAACUGGGUCUAAUACCGGAUAUGACCUCAUGACUCAUGUUGUGGGGUGGAAAGCCUUGUGCGGCUAGGGAUGGGCCCGCGGCCUAUCAGCUUGUUGGUGGGGUAAUUGCCUACCAAGGCGACGACGGGUAGCCGGCCUGAGAGGGCGACCGGCCACACUGGGACUGAGACACGGCCCAGACUCCUACGGGAGGCAGCAGUGGGGAAUCUUGCGCAAUGGCGAAAGCCUGACGCAGCGACGCCGCGUGAGGGAUGACGGCCU
This 387-nucleotide ribosomal RNA is filed under the name uncultured bacterium. RNAcentral's name for it is "bacterial SSU rRNA". It matches the Rfam family "Bacterial small subunit ribosomal RNA", at positions 28 to 417 of the family's 1533-position model. The record is from RNAcentral.